AGUAACACGUGGGUAACCUGCCUUAUAGUGGGGGAUAGCCUUUCGAAAGGAAGAUUAAUACCGCAUAAGAUUGUAGUAUCGCAUGGUAUAGCAAUUAAAGGAGCAAUUCGCUAUAAGAUGGACCCGCGUCGCAUUAGCUAGUUGGUGAGGUAAUGGCUCACCAAGGCGACGAUGCGUAGCCGACCUGAGAGGGUGAUCGGCCACAUUGGGACUGAGACACGGCCCAGACUCCUACGGGAGGCAGCAUG
Molecule: ribosomal RNA, 248 nt
Filed under: uncultured bacterium
Lineage: Bacteria
Description: partial 16S ribosomal RNA
Rfam family: Bacterial small subunit ribosomal RNA
Source: RNAcentral